Molecule: ribosomal RNA, 254 nt
Filed under: uncultured prokaryote
Description: partial 16S ribosomal RNA
Rfam family: Bacterial small subunit ribosomal RNA
Source: RNAcentral
UACGGAGGAUGCGAGCGUUAUCCGGAUUUAUUGGGUUUAAAGGGUGCGUAGGCUGGUAAUUAAGUCAGUGGUGAAAUACUCCGGCUCAACCGGGGGGCUGCCGUUGAUACUGGUUACCUUGAGUUUAGAUGAUGUAGGCGGAAUGUGUCAUGUAGCGGUGAAAUGCAUAGAGAUGACACAGAACACCGAUAGCGAAGGCAGCUCACAAAGCUAUUACUGACGCUGAUGCACGAAAGCGUGGGGAUCAAACAGGA